CUACUUACCUGGCAGGGGAGACACCAUGGUCACGUAGGUGGUUUUCCCAGGGUGAGGCUCCGCCAUUGCACUUUGGGCUGUGCUGACCCCUGCGAUUUCCCCAAAUGCGGGAAACUCGACUGCAUAAUUGGUGGUAGUGGGGGACUGCGUUCGCGCCCUCCCCUG
RNAcentral lists this small nuclear RNA (165 nucleotides) under Ornithorhynchus anatinus (platypus). RNAcentral's name for it is "U1 spliceosomal RNA (ENSOANG00000051306.1)". It matches the Rfam family "U1 spliceosomal RNA". Rfam says of the family: U1 is a small nuclear RNA (snRNA) component of the spliceosome (involved in pre-mRNA splicing). Its 5' end forms complementary base pairs with the 5' splice junction, thus defining the 5' donor site of an intron. There are significant differences in sequence and secondary structure between metazoan and yeast U1 snRNAs, the latter being much longer (568 nucleotides as compared to 164 nucleotides in human). Lineage: Eukaryota; Metazoa; Chordata; Mammalia; Monotremata; Ornithorhynchidae. The record is from Rfam by way of RNAcentral.